GUUGUCGUGGCCGAGUGGUUAAGGCGAUGGACUAGAAUUCCUGCGCAGGUUUGAAUCCUGCCGACAACG
Non-coding RNA from Oncorhynchus keta (chum salmon), 69 nucleotides. NCBI's taxonomy places the organism in Eukaryota, Metazoa, Chordata, Actinopteri, Salmoniformes, Salmonidae. The record is from the annotation of a RefSeq genome assembly.